AACUUACUUAGCUUGCUUUGAAAGUUUCUAGUGGCGAACGGGUGAGUAACACGUGAGUUACCUGCCUCGAAGUGGGAGAUAGCCCGGGGAAACUCAGAUUAAUACCCCAUGUAAUCGUAAGAUUAAAGGCGGCUUCGGCUGUCGCUUCGAGAUGGGCUCGCGGCCUAUCAGUUAGUUGGUGAGGUAAAAGCUCACCAAGACGAUGACGGGUAGCUGGUCUGAGAGGACGACCAGUCACACUGGAACUGAGACACGGUCCAGACACCUACGGGUGGCAGCAGUCGAGAAUCAUUCGCAAUGGACGAAAGUCUGACGGUGCGACGCCGCGUGGAGGAUGAAGGCCCUAGGGUCGUAAACUCCUGUCAUCAGGGAGUAAUUACUUAUGUAGUAACUGACAUAGGUCUUGAUAGUACCUGAAGAGGAAGGGACGGCAAACUUCGUGCCAGCAGCCGCGGUAAUACGAAGGUCCCAAGCGUUGUUCGGAUUUACUGGGCGUAAAGCGUCUGUAGGCGGGAUGGUAAGUCAGAUGUGAAAUCCCGGGGCUCAACCCCGGAACUGCAUCCGAUACUGCCAACCUAGAGGGUCGGAGGGGAGUCUGGAAUUCUCGGUGUAGCAGUGAAAUGCGUAGAUAUCGAGAGGAACACUCGUGGCGAAGGCGAGACUCUGGACGACACCUGACGCUGAGAGACGAAGGCCAGGGUAGCGAAAAGGAUUAGAUACCCUUGUAGUCCUGGCAGUAAACGGUGCACGCUUGGUGUGGGAAGGUUCGACCCUUUCCGUGCCGGAGCUAACGCGUUAAGCGUGCCGCCUGGGGAGUACGGUCGCAAGAUUAAAACUCAAAGAAAUUGACGGGGACCCGCACAAGCGGUGGAGCAUGUGGCUUAAUUCGAUGCAACGCGAAGAACCUUACCUGGGCUUGACAUGUUAGUCGUAGAUUUGUGAAAGCUUAUCGUCACUUCGGGUGGACUAUCACAGGUGCUGCAUGGCUGUCGUCAGCU
RNAcentral lists this ribosomal RNA (998 nucleotides) under uncultured marine bacterium. RNAcentral describes it as "bacterial SSU rRNA". It matches the Rfam family "Bacterial small subunit ribosomal RNA", at positions 65 to 1060 of the family's 1533-position model. The record is from RNAcentral.